Molecule: ribosomal RNA, 357 nt
Filed under: uncultured bacterium
Lineage: Bacteria
Description: bacterial SSU rRNA
Rfam family: Bacterial small subunit ribosomal RNA
Source: RNAcentral
AACGAACGCUGGCGGCAGGCCUAACACAUGCAAGUCGAACGAGAAGCCACCUUCGGGUGGUGGACAGUGGCAGACGGGUGAGUAACGCGUGGGAACGUGCCUUUCGGUUCGGGACAACCCAGGGAAACUUGGGCUAAUACCGGAUACGCCCUUCGGGGAAGGAUUCAUUGCCGAAAGAUCGGCCCGCGUCGGAUUAGCUAGUUGGUGGGGUAAAAGGACCUACCAAGGCGACGAUCCGUAGCUGGUCUGAGAGGAUGACCAGCCACACUGGGACUGAGACACGGCCCAGACUCCUACGGGAGGCAGCAGUGGGGAAUAUUGGACAAUGGGCGAAAGCCUGAUCCAGCCAUGCCGCGU